RNAcentral lists this ribosomal RNA (238 nucleotides) under uncultured bacterium. RNAcentral's name for it is "partial 16S ribosomal RNA". It matches the Rfam family "Bacterial small subunit ribosomal RNA", at positions 96 to 334 of the family's 1533-position model. The record is from RNAcentral.
UGGCGGACGGGUGAGUAACGCGUGGGUAACCUGCCUCAUACAGGGGGAUAACAGUUAGAAAUGACUGCUAAUACCGCAUAAGACCACAGCACCGCAUGGUGCAGGGGUAAAAACUCCGGUGGUAUGAGAUGGACCCGCGUCUGAUUAGGUAGUUGGUGGGGUAACGGCCUACCAAGCCGACGAUCAGUAGCCGACCGGAGAGGGUGACCGGCCACAUUGGGACUGAGACACGGCCCAA